GGAAAUCGGUGAAAAACCGAUGCGGUGCCGCCACUGUAAGACGGAGUCGGAUAUAGCAGGACACUGGACAUUACGUCCGGGAAGUCAUAUCCAGAUGUUGAAGUCAAGCCAGGAUAC
Molecule: non-coding RNA, 117 nt
Filed under: Lactonifactor longoviformis
Lineage: Bacteria; Bacillati; Bacillota; Clostridia; Eubacteriales; Clostridiaceae
Source: RNAcentral